ACUUACUUAGUAUAUAAAGUAUAAUUGACUUCCAAUCAAUAGGUCUAUUGAUAGAGUAAGUA
Molecule: transfer RNA, 62 nt
Filed under: Brachyrhynchus triangulus
Lineage: Eukaryota; Metazoa; Arthropoda; Insecta; Hemiptera; Aradidae
Description: tRNA-Gly
Source: RNAcentral